GCCUAGUUAGCGCAGUAGGCAGCGCGUCAGUCUCAUAAUCUGAAGGUCGUGAGUUCGAUCAUCACACGAGGCA
This 73-nucleotide transfer RNA is filed under the name Saccoglossus kowalevskii. Its description in RNAcentral is "tRNA-Met". It matches the Rfam family "tRNA". From Rfam's summary of the family: Transfer RNA (tRNA) molecules are approximately 80 nucleotides in length. The record is from RNAcentral. Lineage: Eukaryota; Metazoa; Hemichordata; Enteropneusta; Harrimaniidae.